CCCGUGGACACGGGCUGGGGGCUCCGGACUUGGGGCUGGCGGGAACUUUAGUUGCGGUCUGGCAUAAGGGUCCGCUUUCCCGUGGGGAUGGGACUCGGUCCAAACCCACUAAACAGUUCGUUUGGCGAAAAUCUUUACAACUCAAGUCGCAAAAUGCUUCCCUGUAGGACACAUGAAUACCAGAUCUUUAAAAUGAAAGCACUGCUGAAAGCCUUGCAGAGGAGCUUUGCUUGGCAAGCUUGAGCAAUGAAGGCUUUCAAUAAAGAAAAUAUAUUGUCUUCCAACUGGAUGCAAAAAAUAGAGCUGAAUUGUCGCUUCCUAAAUGUAUCCUGAUUCCUGGCUUUCAGUUAGGAGAGCUUUUAGUGGCGUUCAAGUGCCACGGCCAUCAUGUUCUCUAAAUAUCUCCUAAUCCUGAGGCAAGCCGAAGUCUGUUGGUGUUCAGUGGGUUUUGUACAUGUAGGGCAUAGGCGUACUUCAUUCUUACUUCAUAUUUACUUUAUGUUGAUACAAAUUCAAUGCUUCUGCUCAGCCCUGUGUUUUGGCAGAGUGCUCUCUUGCAGCGGAACUGGGGGGACCUUCUAAAUGAAGCUAACAAGUAAAAUAUGCUUUGAAAUGGAGUGCAGAUGGGAAGCCUCUUAAGUAUUGUGUUGCACAACAGUGUGCUCUCUGUGUGUGACAUUCAGCUUGCAAAACUCUAGGUUUUAUGAAUUCAUCCACAAUCUGAGCUGGUCCCUGUGCUAUUCAGAAAUACUGUGCAUUGAUGUGUGGAACAGCAGCGGUUCUGAUGAGAGAGGUUAAUUCAUCUCUCUCCUGACAGCGCUUUUGAUGCCUGACACCUCCGGUCAGCGUGUUUGUUAGAGAUGUGUGUGUGCUCUAAGUUUUUAAUUCCAAAACAAUUCUCAAAUUGUUGAAUAAGAAGAGUAACUGGUGUUUGCUGGCUCAGGUAGGUGGUGUCUUAACUUUCCUUGAGCUGUUUUGUGAGUUAUGCAGCUGUCUCUUGCAUCUUAAUGUGUUACUGUGGAUUGCCAUUUCCUACUGACUGAUAGUAAUAGAUAGAUAGUAGCAUCCUCGACAUCAGAAACUGAGGUUCUUUACCCCCACAUCUCACCCUUUCUUCACGGUAGGGAGUGUCUCUGGCUCCAUCUCCUGGCUCAAAAAGAAGAUCCCCCUUCAUGAAGGGGGUAUGGAGAGAUGGGAAGCCUCGUGGUUUUGGUGAAAAGUGAUGAAGGUUUCUUCUUGGACUUGAACAGUGAGACCUGUCACAGCAGGGUUACCUCCGUUUUCUGACUGGGGUGGGAAUUGUCUUCUCACUUUUUUAAUGGAAAGAGAGUGUGUCUCUUAUGUUACUUUUUAUUAGGAUUUGGAAAGAUUUUCGAUGUAGUGACUAAAUUUUAUCAUGGUAUUUAGAAAUUCAUAAUUUAGUAUUUUUAUUACUUGCAUGGAUAUGCUGGAAAGGUUAGUCAUCUCGCCUGAUACAUCUUGUGUGUGGUCUUUUGGUGGAAAUGUAUUAAUGAUGUAUCCUAUAUGUCACGAUUUUUCUUCAUGGUCAGGAAAACGUGUUGCCUGCAAAUUCUUAAUCCAUUUGAAAUAGAAAACCUGUAGCAGAAUGGAAGGAUCUUGCUGUGAUUUAGAGCCUAUACAUAUACUAUGAGUGUGAGCAGAGGUAAUCCUGUUCUGCAAACACAGAUCCACAGAGAAGAGGAUCCUUCCUUCAUGGAGGACCUUCUGUAUGCCUUGUCUUUAGUGCAGAGCAACUUUCUUCAAGUGCAGCUGGCAGGAGGAAAGAACUUAAGCAGGCUGUGGAAUCAGGAUACCUGUCCUACCCCUGACAGCCAGGCUUCUGUACUUACUCACCAUACCCCAGAGUGAAAGGAGAAGGUGGCAGACUGUUCUGACACUGAUCAUCGGUCCUUGAGAUGCUGUUGGUGGGGAACAGAGCAAUAAGGCAGCCUGGCAGCAGGGGAUCCCAGGGAAGCAGACAGCUUCUGGUGGGUUGUGGUGCCCCAAGGUUUCUCUCUGGUCAGUCAGAACCCUUCUCUUGAGGCUGAACAUUGGUGAGUCUCUGAAAGCAUGUUAUGUCCAGAGUCCACUGCAGCAGGGAAGAAAGAUGCUUCUCGGCAGAUUUACUGUAUACCAUCUGAGGUCUGCACUUGGCUUUUGACCAUGCUUCAUGCCUGCUGCAGCCACAGAGCCACCGCCACCACUAACCUUCCAAGGCUGAGCUGAAUUAUUUUCUGACUCGCAUAUCGCCAAGAGACGCAUCAGCUACAAGAGAUUCCAGCUGCAGAAUGUGUGUGCGCAGCGUGUCUUGUUCAGAUGUUAUUUCCUUAAUAAAAUUGCUCAUUUGGUGUGAA
This is a long non-coding RNA of Pezoporus occidentalis (night parrot), 2354 nucleotides long. RefSeq lists it as uncharacterized. The record is from RefSeq and is a predicted model, not a curated record. Lineage: Eukaryota; Metazoa; Chordata; Aves; Psittaciformes; Psittacidae. The transcript is spliced from 2 exons.